GAUGAACGCUGGCGGCGUGCCUAAUACAUGCAAGUCGAGCGAACGGACGAGAAGCUUGCUUCUCUGAUGUUAGCGGCGGACGGGUGAGUAACACGUGGAUAACCUGCCUAUAAGACUGGGAUAACUUCGGGAAACCGGAGCUAAUACCGGAUAAUAUUUUGAACCGCAUGGUUCAAAAGUGAAAGACGGUCUUGCUGUCACUUAUAGAUGGAUCCGCGCUGCAUUAGCUAGUUGGUAAGGUAACGGCUUACCAAGGCAACGAUGCAUAGCCGACCUGAGAGGGUGGUCGGCCACACUGGAACUGAGACACGGUCCAGACUCCUACGGGAGGCAGCAGUAGGGAAUCUUCCGCAAUGGGCGAAAGCCUGACGGAGCAACGCCGCGUGAGUGAUGAAGGUCUUCGGAUCGUAAAACUCUGUUAUUAGGGAAGAACAUAUGUGUAAGUAACUGUGCACAUCUUGACGGUACCUAAUCAGAAAGCCACGGCUAACUACGUG
Molecule: ribosomal RNA, 497 nt
Filed under: uncultured bacterium
Lineage: Bacteria
Description: partial 16S ribosomal RNA
Rfam family: Bacterial small subunit ribosomal RNA
Source: RNAcentral